UUUCCGUAGGUGAACCUGCGGAAGGAUCAUUAUUGUAUAACCGAGGUGCGAGGGCUGUCGCUGACCCGAAAGGUCGUGCACGCCCGAUGGCCCUCCCACACAUCCAUCUCACCCCUAUGUGCACCACCGCGUGGGUCCCCCUUUGGCUUGUUCGGAGGGGGGCUUACGUUUUCACACAAACUUUGUAUGCAGUGUAGAAUGUAUUUUUUGUUUUUGCGAUCACGCAAUCAAUACAACUUUCAACAACGGAUCUCUUGGCUCUC
RNAcentral lists this unclassified non-coding RNA (263 nucleotides) under plant metagenome. Its description in RNAcentral is "partial contains small subunit ribosomal RNA, internal transcribed spacer 1, and 5.8S ribosomal RNA". The record is from RNAcentral.